AAUGACCAUCAAGUAACAGACAAGGGUUCAUUCUAUCAGCAUUUUUACCUAACUACAGGAUGGCACAACCUUAAAGAAAUUCAGGAUCUUUUAGAUUCUCAUCAUGGCCCAGUUCCACCUCAAAACCAGGUAACCAUUUUGAAUUUAUGAGCUGGGAUAAUUCCUGGGGUGUUUCAGUCUCAAAUUCAGUGUUAUAUUGGUUUCAAACUGACAAGAUCUAGAAUAUACGAAACAAAAUACAAACACUUACUGAAGAAAGGUAAUACCCGUCACUUAUAGAAAAUGGUAUAUCUUCAGGUCAAAGUAAGAAUUCA
Corapipo altera (White-ruffed manakin) is the source of this 314-nucleotide long non-coding RNA. RefSeq lists it as uncharacterized. The record is from RefSeq and is a predicted model, not a curated record. The transcript is spliced from 3 exons. Lineage: Eukaryota; Metazoa; Chordata; Aves; Passeriformes; Pipridae.